RNAcentral lists this ribosomal RNA (495 nucleotides) under uncultured bacterium. RNAcentral's name for it is "partial 16S ribosomal RNA". It matches the Rfam family "Bacterial small subunit ribosomal RNA", at positions 28 to 505 of the family's 1533-position model. The record is from RNAcentral.
GAUGAACGCUGGCGGCGUGCCUAAUACAUGCAAGUCGAGCGAACAGACGAGGAGCUUGCUCCUCUGACGUUAGCGGCGGACGGGUGAGUAACACGUGGAUAACCUACCUAUAAGACUGGGAUAACUUCGGGAAACCGGAGCUAAUACCGGAUAAUAUAUUGAACCGCAUGGUUCAAUAGUGAAAGACGGUUUUGCUGUCACUUAUAGAUGGAUCCGCGCCGCAUUAGCUAGUUGGUAAGGUAACGGCUUACCAAGGCAACGAUGCGUAGCCGACCUGAGAGGGUGGACGGCCAACCUGGAACUGGGACACGGUCCAGACUCCUACGGGAGGCAGCAGUAGGGAAUCUUCCGCAAUGGGGGAAAGCCUGAAGGAGCAACGCCGGGGGGGUGAUGAAGGUCUUCGGAUCGUAAAACUCUUUUAUUAGGGAAAAACAAAUGGGUAAGUAACUAUGCACGUUUUGACGGUAACUAAUCAGAAAGCCACGGCGAACUAAG